AAAGGAACACUAUGAGCAAGCCUCGGUUUUUUCUCGCUCUGCUUCUCAUGGCAGUGCUUCUUUCUCUCUCCUUCUCUCAAGGUGGUGCCUCUCUCCUCAUCUCAUUUUUUAUUUUGUAGCUAUAUAUUUGUUUAUGUUUAAGCUUAUUUUCUCAUGUUGGUUUUUUAGGCUUUGGGAGGAGGAUUCAGGUUAUGAGCCAUUCACUUGAGCCACUGCAUGAGGUAUAUAUAUAUAUAUGUUGGAACUAUUUUCAAAUUAUUGUUUUAAAGUUUUCAGUGGGUUAUAAUUCAUUUCAGUAGCUCAGCAGAUAGUGCAUGCGACAUAAUUCACCUGAUAUAUACUUGCUGAUAACAUGGCAUUAUUGAUUAUCGAAAUAGGCUUACUUAUUAAGCAGUUUAGUUUUUAUCUUUUAUUUUUCUUAAUAUUCGAUUUCAGGAGAGUUUAAAGAUAAGGAGGGAGAUGACGGAGGAGGAGGAGAUGGACUACAGCGGCCCGAAAGCAAACACUAACCCAAAGGACGGGGGGAUAUACAAUUCCCCAGCUCCCAUUCUUCCUCCUCCAAGUCAUUAAUUGCGUAGAAAUAGCGUAAAAAGAAAAAAAAAAUUAUUUGUUUACUUGAUGCUUUUAGUCUCAAUUCUAUCUACGGUUUUUUCGUAUAAGUAGUGGAUGGUUUCAUUUGCAUGCUCAAUAAGCUCAGAUAUUACUAUUCAUGCAAAAAAGAAAAAGAUAAAAAAAAAAAGAACAAAAGCUUGUACCUCUUUUUGUAAUGCCUUCCAAUGUUUUGUAUCGAUCAACGCAUUAAUCGUGAUGCACUUUUUCGUUCCUGUGUUAGUUAGAGGCCUUGAUGGUUCCAAAAUUCAGAGGGAAAUUUAUCGUUUUUCUUUUUUGGUUCUAAGUUCGUAAUUCGAAAAAUUGUUGUCCAUAAUUAAGCAUUUAAUUAGUGUCUUUCUCACAUAUCUAGCUGACUAUUUAAGUUUUAAUGAAUGUUAGCUAUACCGAAAUGUUUACACAUUAAUUAUCAUGUCUUGUCCUUUUUUAUGAUAUGUGAAUGUCACGCGCAGAUAUUUAGCAUUAGCAAUUACGGAGAAGAUAACAUCCAUUUUUAUUUUUUGAAUGUAGAACAUGAAUUCUUUUAGGAACAAUUCAAUAGUUUUUACUGAUAAUUACGUUGUUAAUUUAGUUGGCGGAUCAACAAUGGAAGUUAAUUCAACGUCGAACGUGCAUGGGACCUUGUUAUCCAGGGAUUAAUUUAA
This 1253-nucleotide long non-coding RNA is filed under the name Ananas comosus (pineapple). RNAcentral's name for it is "long non-coding RNA (ACOM_LNC004432)". The record is from RNAcentral. Lineage: Eukaryota; Viridiplantae; Streptophyta; Magnoliopsida; Poales; Bromeliaceae.